This 3407-nucleotide long non-coding RNA is filed under the name Cinara cedri. The record is from RNAcentral. Lineage: Eukaryota; Metazoa; Arthropoda; Insecta; Hemiptera; Aphididae.
AAAUAGGUAUUGGUUGUCUAGUUAAUUUAUAAUUAUCGGUUAAUCGCAGCUUCGAAUCAUGUCUGCUGUUGGAGCUAUACGUCAACGUUGUAUUGUCAGAACGAAAAAUUGGUGUACUUAGAAGCAAAUCGAAAGCUGCAACGACUUAUUUACUAAGGAGUGACUUAUGUAAGAAGUUGUCAAACUUUAGUAACACGAUAAUUACACAAUAAUUAGCUCAUCAUAUUGAAUCGUACUGGUGCAUUUCACAUGGUCAAUGAUCUCUUUAUUAACUAUUUAUUUAACUAUUCACAUCGCUUGAUUUAAAUGUUCACCCCUGCAUCACCUCAGUGUAUGACAAUAUCAAUUGUACUUGUACCUAUAGGUUUUUUGAAUUUCAAAGAACCACUUCUUGUUAAACAAUGAACUAUUUAUGAAUAAAAUUAUUUGUAAAAUAUGUACAUAUUAACUACUUUUGGUUAUUUCGACUACCUAUCAACGAAUAUCGGAAUAUUUAAUUUUUUUUAAAUUUAAUAGUUACAAUUUAUUUAUUUAAAUAGUUUAAUUGAAUCGGUUAUUACAUUUAAAUUUUAAUUUUAAAACAUGUACACUGGUUUGAAAUACAUUUUUUUUACACAAAACUAUUAAAGCAGCAAAUAUUUCACAAAACAUGGUUACUUGAUUAACAGUAAUACAAUUUUAUAUGGGCAGUUGCCAAUUUCCAGAUCAAACUCAUUAUUUUAAUAAUCAAUGCUGGAUCCCUAUUUUAUUUAUAUUAUUUUCUAUGAUUAAUGUUAUAAUAAUUACACCAAUUAGAUUUCCAGAAUCUCAAGUUUUUAUUUUUUAAAACAUCGUUCCUCUGCUUUUUUUCGUUCUUUUUUUCGUCCUUUGAAUGUUUUCACCUUGCUUGCAUAUAUCACAAAAUAAUGCUAUCUACAAAAUCAAUUUUAAUAACUAUUUCUUAACUAAAAAUUGGGAAGGUUAAACUUGAUUGAACUAUAUAUAUAAUAGUAUUUUUUUAAUAUAUAUAGUUUUGUUUUUUAAAUUAAAUUUUAAAGUAAUUAAAAAGAUAUCAACUUCAUUACAUUUUCAUAUAUUUCACCAAGUGGAAAGAAAAAUGAUUUCCAAUUCAUAAACUGGAUAAGAGAAAAGUACCUAUAAUUAUACAGCUGACUAUAAUAGCAUUUGCUAAUUAAUUAUUAUUAUUAUUAUUGUAAAUCGUUGGUUGUACACUUUUUCUCCGAACUUUAAACAAAUAUUUUUAACCUUUCCAGAAUAAUAAACUAUAGAAUGGCAAUCUUCAAAUUUAUCAAAAAUAAUAAAAUAAAAACAAAAUUAAUAAAAUGAUUGAUACUCAUAAAUAAAUAUAUAAAUAAAAAAUGUAUACAUAAAAAUGAAAAAUUAAUUAAUUAAUACCUGAUGAUGAAUUUUUAAUUUUAAUAAUAAUACUCCAGGCAUAGUCAUUCAUUUAUUUUAUUUUUAUGUAUACAUUUUUUUUUUUCAUGUUUUCAUCACUUGAAUAAUAUAUUUUUAUAUAUCAUACUUUUUGUAUUAUCCAAAAAUGUUUAAUUUAACUCAAAUCACAAAAAUAUUAUGUUUUAAUGUUUAUUAUAGUUAUUUUAAACUGCUAAUUUCUUUUUUCUAGUUACUGAAAAACUUUACAAUGAUCAAAAUCAAAAAAUUAUUGUAAGUUACGGUUCUGGGUGUACUUAAAGACACAUAAAUCCUUUUAUGGUAAGUCGAUAAGCCUCAUAUCAUUGGUGUUGGUGAUAUUAAAACAAUAUUAUUUAUAUUUUUAUUUUGGUCGAGUUUUCCUUGAAAAUAGAGACACUGGUAUUGUAUCUGUUAUAUUACUUUCUGUUUCCAAAUUGCAUGUGGAAAUUAUAAUAUAGACAGAGUUUUGUUGGUGAUUCUUUAGAGACUGAGUCGAGUUGCUUGCGCGAUUUUUAUUUUUUUAAAUUUUAGAUUCUGCAAAACAUUUCUCUCCUAGAAAUACUCUUAAAUUUUGAUUUUACGAUUUCAAAUUUAAAUAAUUUUACUUAGACCAAAUGAUUGAAUUUUUAAUAAAUAAGAUUUACAAAUUUUUUUUAUUUUGUGCAUGCUCAUCUCUCAAUAUUAUUAUUCAAAAAUUUAUAUUCAUUAAUGAUGUUUUUUUUUUUUUUUUGUCGUAGGGUUUUCGAAAUCAAACUAUUGACUGAUCAUUAAAAGUUAUAAAUCAAUAACUAUAUACAAUUAAUUAUAUCUACAGAUUAUAACUAUUCACACGCAACUCGACUUUGUCACAAAAAAUACCACAUAUGCCUUUCAGUAGUCAACUAGCAUUGCUUAUUUUUUUUGGCACGCAAUUCAGAUGCAACCAUUAAUAUAUCUUUCUGAUACAUUUGGGUACUUUUAUCAGCUCCCUCUAAACCAAAAUGCUUAAACUAAAUCUUUUUCCUAAUUAAUUCAUUUUAAUCAGGUUUUAAUCAGGUAAAUAGGUACCUUAAUAGAUUUAUGAAUGUAAAAGACUAGGUUAAAAUGUGUUAAGUGGGUGAUUUUUUUUUUUUUUAUCAAACCAAAAAUUUUCUCAAAGGAUUUUAAGUCAAUUUGAUUUCUGUAUGUUUUUUUUAAAAUCAUGUUGGAAUCGGGUAAGCUUUAUUUUAAAACUAUGUUAAAUUUUUUAUCCAUGUAUAUUAAAUAAGUAUAUACUUAAAUAUACUAUAUAGGAAUUUGUGUUCAAAAAGGGAGGUUCCUAUUUGAAAAACAAAAGUAUACACUUAUUUAAGGUAUAUGAAGUAAGGGUAAAACUUAAACAAUUCCACAAUGAUAAAAAAAUAGAAAACAGACAUCUAAAAUCUUAGAUCACCUUUAAAUUUUCCGAAAAAAUGGUUUAGUUCAUAAUUAAAAACUAUCACUGUAUGUAUAAAUAUAAUUGUUGUUGAGAAUAUGCCUUUAGAAAAUUUUAACUCCUCCUAUUCCCCAGCUCCUGUUUGUAUUUUAUCAAAAAUUUCAAAAACUACUUUACCCCUAUUUUGAUACAAAACUAUUUUGUUCAAAUUCUUAUUAGUUAUUAUAUAAAAAAAAAAAACUCAGAAUAUUGUAACAAGUCAGAUAAGGAAAAGCUUGAAUACUGCUAAUGUGUUUUUUUUUUUUUUUUAGGUAAUGAAGAUUAUUUUUCUGAAACCAUUGCAAAUUCUUAUUUCAACAUCACAUGGCAUUGGCUGUGCAUAUAUAAUAUGGUCUACAAGCAUCAAACAGUUGAGAAUUCAGAUUCCAAAAUAGUGCAUUAAUCUGAAAAUACAAAUGCCAGAAAAUGUUAAUAAAUAAAAACAAAAAACUUUAACUAUUAGUAAUUGUGGAAAAGACUAAAAUAAAAACAGCAAGUGGUUGAUUAUACUUUUUAUUAAUUUUUUUCUAUUUUGAUAAACUUUUGUCAUCCUUUCUAUUUA